AGUGAACGCUGGCGGUAGGCCUAACACAUGCAAGUCGAACGGCAGCACAGUAAGAGCUUGCUCUUACGGGUGGCGAGUGGCGGACGGGUGAGGAAUACAUCGGAAUCUACUUUUUCGUGGGGGAUAACGUAGGGAAACUUACGCUAAUACCGCAUACGACCUACGGGUGAAAGCAGGGGAUCUUCGGACCUUGCGCGAUUGAAUGAGCCGAUGUCGGAUUAGCUAGUUGGCGGGGUAAAGGCCCACCAAGGCGACGAUCCGUAGGUGGUCUGAGAGGAUGAGCAGCCACACUGGAACUGAGACACGGUCCAGACCCCUACGGGAGGCAGCAGUGGGGAAUAUUAGACAAUGGGCGCAAGCCUGAUCCAGCCAUACCGCGUGGGUGAAGAAGGCCUUCGGGUUGUAAAGCCAUUUUGUUGGGAAAGAAAAGCAGCAGGUUAAUACCCCACUGUUCUGACGGUACCCAAAGAAUAAGCACCGGCUAACUUCGUG
This 492-nucleotide ribosomal RNA is filed under the name uncultured bacterium. RNAcentral's name for it is "partial 16S ribosomal RNA". It matches the Rfam family "Bacterial small subunit ribosomal RNA", at positions 29 to 507 of the family's 1533-position model. The record is from RNAcentral.